AUUGAACGCUGGCGGCAUGCCUUACACAUGCAAGUCGAACGGUAACAGGUCUUCGGAUGCUGACGAGUGGCGAACGGGUGAGUAAUACAUCGGAACGUGCCCGAUCGUGGGGGAUAACGAAGCGAAAGCUUUGCUAAUACCGCAUAAGAUCUACGGAUGAAAGCAGGGGACCGCAAGGCCUUGCGCGAACGGAGCGGCCGAUGGCAGAUUAGGUAGUUGGUGGGAUAAAAGCUUACCAAGCCGACGAUCUGUAGCUGGUCUGAGAGGACGACCAGCCACACUGGGACUGAGACACGGCCCAGACUCCUACGGGAGGCAGCAGUGGGGAAUUUUGGACAAUGGGCGAAAGCCUGAUCCAGCCAUGCCGCGUGCAGGAUGAAGGCCUUCGGGUUGUAAACUGCUUUUGUACGGAACGAAAAGACUCUUUCUAAUAAAGAGGGUCCAUGACGGUACCGUAAGAAUAAGCACCGGCUAACUACGUGCCAGCAGCCGCCGUAA
This 498-nucleotide ribosomal RNA is filed under the name uncultured bacterium. Its description in RNAcentral is "partial 16S ribosomal RNA". It matches the Rfam family "Bacterial small subunit ribosomal RNA", at positions 30 to 523 of the family's 1533-position model. The record is from RNAcentral.